CCUACGGGAGGCAGCAGUGGGGAAUAUUGCACAAUGGGGGGAACCCUGAUCCAGCGACGCCGCGUGAGUGAAGAAGUAUUUCGGUAUGUAAAGCUCUAUCAGCAGGGAAGAAAGAAAUGACGGUACCUGACUAAGAAGCCCCGGCUAACUACGUGCCAGCAGCCGCGGUAAUACGUAGGGGGCAAGCGUUAUCCGGAUUUACUGGGUGUAAAGGGAGCGUAGACGGCGAUGCAAGUCUGAAGUGAAAGGCGGGGGCCCAACCCCCGGACUGCUUUGGAAACUGUAUGGCUGGAGUGCAGGAGAGGGAAGUGGAAUGCCUAGUGUAGCGGUGAAAUGCGUAGAGAUUAGGAGGAACACCAGUGGCGAAGGCGGCUUACUGGACUGUAACUGACGUUGAGGCUCGAAAGCGUGGGGAGCAAACAGGAUUAGAUACCCCAGUAGUC
RNAcentral lists this ribosomal RNA (443 nucleotides) under uncultured bacterium. RNAcentral's name for it is "partial 16S ribosomal RNA". It matches the Rfam family "Bacterial small subunit ribosomal RNA", at positions 338 to 795 of the family's 1533-position model. The record is from RNAcentral.